Molecule: ribosomal RNA, 274 nt
Filed under: uncultured bacterium
Lineage: Bacteria
Description: partial 16S ribosomal RNA
Rfam family: Bacterial small subunit ribosomal RNA
Source: RNAcentral
AUACGGAGGGUGCGAGCGUUAAUCGGAAUUACUGGGCGUAAAGCGUACGUAGGCGGUUGGUUAAGUUAGAUGUGAAAGCCCCGGGCUUAACCUGGGAACUGCAUUUAAAACUGGCGAACUAGAGUUGAGUAGAGGGGAGUGGAAUUUCAGGUGUAGCGGUGAAAUGCGUAGAGAUCUGAAGGAACACCAGUGGCGAGGGCGACUCCCUGGACUCGAACUGACGCUGAGGUACGAAAGCGUGGGUAGCAAACGGGAUUAGAAACCCUAGUAGUCC